Molecule: ribosomal RNA, 498 nt
Filed under: uncultured bacterium
Lineage: Bacteria
Description: partial 16S ribosomal RNA
Rfam family: Bacterial small subunit ribosomal RNA
Source: RNAcentral
AUUGAACGCUGGCGGCAUGCCUUACACAUGCAAGUCGAACGGUAACGGGCCUUCGGGUGCCGACGAGUGGCGAACGGGUGAGUAAUGCAUCGGAACGUACCCAUCAGUGGGGGAUAACUUUCCGAAAGGAGGGCUAAUACCGCAUAUUCUGUGCGCAGGAAAGCGGGGGACCGCAAGGCCUCGCGCUGAUGGAGCGGCCGAUGUCAGAUUAGCUAGUUGGUGGGGUAAAGGCCUACCAAGGCGACGAUCUGUAGCGGGUCUGAGAGGAUGAUCCGCCACACUGGGACUGAGAAACGGCCCAGACUCCUACGGGAGGCAGCAGUGGGGAAUUUUGGACAAUGGGGGCAACCCUGAUCCAGCCAUGCCGCGUGAGUGAAGAAGGCCUUCGGGUUGUAAAGCUCUUUCGGCCGGGAAGAAAUCGCAUCUCCUAAUACGGGGUGUGGAUGACGGUACCGGAAUAAGAAGCACCGGCUAACUACGUGCCAGCAGCCGCGGUAA